GUAUCCAUAGUGUGGGCAUUGUAGUAAAAGUGAUUUGAAGUUGUCCCAUGCUUCGUGAAAGGAUUCAGUGUCCUUUUGAUAAAAAUUGGAAAUCUCAACUCUUAAUUC
This is a non-coding RNA of Ricinus communis (castor bean), 108 nucleotides long. The record is from Rfam. NCBI's taxonomy places the organism in Eukaryota, Viridiplantae, Streptophyta, Magnoliopsida, Malpighiales, Euphorbiaceae.